UACGUAGGGAGCGAGCGUUGUCCGGAAUUACUGGGUGUAAAGGGAGCGUAGGCGGGGAUGCAAGUUGGGUGUCAAAACUACCGGCUCAACUGGUAGUCGCACUCAAAACUGCAGCUCCUGAGUGAAGUAGAGGCAGGCGGAAUUCCUAGUGUAGCGGUGAAAUGCGUAGAUAUUAGGAGGAACACCAGUGGCGAAGGCGGCCUGCUGGGCUUUUACUGACGCUGAGGCUCGAAAGUGUGGGGAGCAAACAGG
RNAcentral lists this ribosomal RNA (252 nucleotides) under uncultured bacterium. RNAcentral describes it as "partial 16S ribosomal RNA". It matches the Rfam family "Bacterial small subunit ribosomal RNA", at positions 524 to 776 of the family's 1533-position model. The record is from RNAcentral.